RNAcentral lists this unclassified non-coding RNA (443 nucleotides) under Hevea brasiliensis (rubber tree). Lineage: Eukaryota; Viridiplantae; Streptophyta; Magnoliopsida; Malpighiales; Euphorbiaceae. The record is from RNAcentral.
UGAAAGUUAGAGUGUUUAAAUAAGAUGAGUUGAUGUAUCUGAAUAUGUAUAUUGUUAGCCGAGGGUAAAGUUUUCUUUUUUUUCUUUUGUUCGUGAGAAAAUUUGUGGUAGUGGGGUUUUUUUUAAGUUUGAAAUUGAAUGGGGUUUGUUUAAUUAUCUUGUUCUAAGUCACCUAAUUUUUGUGUGUUUGUAUGUUUGAUGUCUAAUUUUGAGGGCAAUUUUUCUUUAGUGUGAUUGUUGACAAUUAAGUUGUUUGGGCUCUCACUUUCGAUAUCGUACAUGUUACUUUUGAAGAAUCAGACAUGCAUCAGUUGACAUUAUUGAAGAGUUCAAGCAACAUAAGUUGACAAUACUCUGUUAUUUUAAUUCUCUAGAAUUUGGUAUACUAAAUAUUUUCGUGUAGAAUAUAGUAGGAUAUAGUUGUGUGAGUGAGAAGGUUGACA